Long non-coding RNA from Triticum dicoccoides, 739 nucleotides. RefSeq lists it as uncharacterized. The transcript has 3 exons. The record is from RefSeq and is a predicted model, not a curated record. NCBI's taxonomy places the organism in Eukaryota, Viridiplantae, Streptophyta, Magnoliopsida, Poales, Poaceae.
UCCCGAGCUCGCCCCUGUUUGGCCAUCGCCAUUGUUCAACCUCGUCCGCGCCGCCAUGUCCACAUCGUCUUCAUCUUCCCUUCCUGUCCCAGCCGAUUGGCUGCUCCCUUUGAUGGCAUGCCCUCUCUGCAGCGACGAGGCCCGUCAGUGACGUUUCUUUGAGUUCCAGCGCGCAUACUGCAGGAGGAUGAUCCACGAGCAGAUCCUUGCUGCGCAGCAUCAAGCGGGAUGGCACCGAGCGGGGCAUGGAUUUGCAGUCCAGCACGGCAACGGGGCUGCCCAGAUUGUUCCCGCUGCCAUACAACCCCAAGAGUACAGGUUGCUCUGCAUACUUGCGGAUUGAAAUUUCUAGUGCGCUCAUCCUCGACGGGCAAGGCACCCGGUCAGGUGGUGCACUUCCAAGCCGGAGCCUGCAUAUUAAGAAGCAAAACGGGGGAAUGUAGUUAAUUUCUGCUUUUUUUUCAGAAUCCAGCGAAAUGAUUUUUCUGUCUUUUUUCGUUUUCAUAUUUUUAGAUUUGGAUUUUGUUCUCAGUCCUAUAGCAUACAAAUAAACAAUGGACACCGGGGAUGUUUUCCCAACCGCACCCCAGAGACGAUGGCCCCUGUGAUGCGUGCUGAUAUCUAUAUUCAUUUUUCAUGUUUCUUCUUAGUUUCUGUCUCAGUUUCAUAAUUUUUGGAAACGGAAUAACAGUCUUGGUCAUUUUAUUCUACAUCUGAAGGCAAGUGCAGUACCACGAUA